AAAACUCUCAGGACUUGCCCAGAAUUCCAGUUUUCGAACUUUUUAGGUCGGAAAACAUUCAACAACCCUCCACCAAGUAUGGAAAAGCUCGAAAUAUAUUCAAACACUCGAACCUCGCAAUUUGCAAAGGUCCAGUGUGCUAUAUACUUGGUCAACCAAUUCAUGCCCAACACAACAUCAAACUUCCCGAGUUUAUGCAAAGCUAACAAGUCCACGGGCAUGAUCCAAUCUCCAACCCGAAUAGGGCAACUGGGGCAAAACUCCCGAAUGUCCAAAGAAUGAUCGGGUACAACAACUCGGCCCGGAUGUAACAAGGAUACAAGUGGGAUGCCAUGCAGCUCGGCAAACAGCCGAUCAAUGAAUGAAUGCGAUGCACCGGUAUCAAACAAUGUUCUAACUCGAAUAGUGAGGACCGCACAAGAAGCACACAAGAAGCACCUGCCCCGACUGCGUGAAAACUGCCGCGGGUAGUGAGGACCGCCACAGAUCACGCAGCGAGGGGCCUGGCGUCGAUCGGGUCCUCCUCGCUGGGUAGACUAGCCGCGUCCUCGCGACUGGCUCCUGCUCCUGGGAUGUCUCGGCGGCCUCCGUGAGUGCGUCUGACUCGCACCCUCAGCCGCUGGCCUCUUGCCCUUGCCCUUAUCUAGGGCCUCGCGUCGCUCCUUAAGAUCUGCCGCUCCUGCCUCCACUAUGAAUGCUCGAUCCACAACCUCCCGAUAGGUCUGGAGGUUGGAAGACUGCACCAACCGGAAGAUAGAAGGCCGCAAACCGCGCUCAAAGAUGCGUGUCUUGUCCUCGUCGUCCCGCACCACAAAAGGCACACAAUGAAGUAUCCGGGAGAACUCCCUCUCGUACUCAGUCACUGACCGCUCAUCCUGGCGCAAAUUGCGCAAAUCCUGCUCCAUCUUCCUCUUGAUGCUAGUAGGAAAGUGGUGCACCAGAAGAAGCUCCUUGAACCUCGUCCAAGUAAUCGCUGCCAAGUCGGUGUUGGGGUUGUCCUGGAUAUCCAACCACCAACGGUAGGCCUCGCCGUCCAGAAAGUGAGUGGCGAGCCAAACUCUGUCUCGCUCCUCUACAAAGGUGUCUCGAAACAGCUUCUCCAUAUGCAUCAACCACUUCUCAACAAUCCAGUGGUCGACGUUCUCGCCAUCAAACGUCCUCGGGCUGCACCUCCUGAACUCACUGAGGCGCUCCAUAAGCCGAUCCCGCUCGGCACCCUCGGCCAUCACGGGGAAUGCUGCCCCUGCCACCGGUCUCUGAACAGGUAGUGCCGUAACCACCUCCUCCCGAGGUGCGGUCGCCGGUGCCGCACGUGAAGAGCUGGGCGCGGGGGACUGCGUCCUCGGUGCGAUGUCCACCACGGGUGCUGGCGGUGUGGGACCCUGGGUCUCCCUCAAAGCUGCCGCCUGCUGAAGUAGGAGGUCCUCAAGAUGCUUCAUCCGCGCCUCCUACCGCUGAGCCACCUCAGCCUGUUGCUGCGCCGCUGCCGUCUGCUGCGCCAACAGAUCAGUGAGAACCGCAAACUGGGCCCUCAAGUUACGGACCUCACUAGAUCCGGAAGUAGCGGAGGUCUCGACCUCCUCGGGGUGUGCCGCAUCAUCCGCCCCGGCAGACUGGGAGCGUGUAAUCGGUAUCGUCACUACAAAAUAUAAAAGCGCAAGUUAGUAACCCACGCUAUCGCAUUCCCGCUCAAAAUAGAUAAAACCCGAAUCAUGCGAAAGUAAGGAAGUGUCCUUCACUACUAACUCCCGAUGUUACGUUGUCGGCCGCCAACGUAACCCUCCGCGAAGUUAGAAGCCAUACACUCCGAUCAAACUCUAACUUUUUAGAGUUAUCAUAAACCCAAUCGAAAUACUUUCGCUCACAAUUCAAUUAGACCUCGUCUCUCACGAGCCUAUUUCCUAUAGUCCAACCGGCCUAAGGUUUACUAGGUCCUCUAAGACUCAACCCUAGGCUCUGAUACCAAAUUAAUCUGUCACGCCCCGGAACCGGCGGAGGCCCUCCCGGUAGCGUGCCCAGACCCGCUAUAUGUCUACACAUAUAAGGCGUCUACAAUAAAAGCGGAAGUAAAGCAAGAGAUAGAACAAAUAGAAUAAGUAGAAUAACUAGCAACUAAUGAUAUCAGAGCAAGUAAAGUUCUAUCAUCUAAACCAGAGCAAAAGAAACAUAACUAGACAAUGAUAGAGAAGCAUAAAGUAAUACAAUACUAUCUCCUCAAAAGGGAAACAAAGAUCCAAAAGAAGGGUGGUCUCUACACAUAUACGGGUACAACUCUCAACCUCUCACAAAAAAAAAAAACAACUAGAGGUAGACCACCUAUCGACUCGUCCACGAAGGAAGCUAGCUCGAUGCAACUCCCUUCCCGCGGUCCCUAGCCUCUCCCGGCGUGGAAGGCUCUUAAAGGAAACAUGAAACAGAGGGCGUGAGAACUAUAAUUUAUAGUUCCCAGUGGGCAAUUACUGACCUCAGCUCAAUGCACCACUAAGCCCCCCAAAAAAAAAAGGGGUAAGUAACGACAAUAGUAAGCAAUGAGUAAACUUUAUUUACGAAAGCAUAAUUAAAAGCUAUACUAAUGCAUUGCAAUUACAUAUGGCAUUUAUAUAAUGCACCUUUAUAUUGUCAUGAAUAUUAUGCCUCAAUAUGACCACAAGUAAUAAUCAUUAUUUGCUUUAUGAAGUUAUGAAGAUCAUGCUUGAUCAUGGCAACAAUGUAUAUAUGAAUGCGAUAAGCACAUCUCCUGGCAUGCUACAUGUAUGUAUGUAUAUCCAAGUACCCAAAACUAUGCUAGAAGCAAGUCCAAGUAAUCCAACUACUAUUCUCUAUCUAGUAGUGAUCAUAAUAAACUCAACACCGUGUCGAUUUUCCAUUUCCAAUUAAGGACCUACCAAAGGUAGUCCAGCUUGUGCCGCCUAAGUGCCUGUGGUAGCCCAACAUUCCUACUUUUGGAAUGUGUCUGUCCCACUCGACCCCGUAGGCUUCUCAAUACCGCACGAGCGAACAUAGGUCGCGUAGGCUAUCUCCGAAGUGUCGGCUUGUAGGGAGCGACCCUCACAAGUAUGUGCGAAUGAGCACAAAUGGCAAGCAAGCAUAGUCCAAGUCUCAAGUAUCCAAUCCUUAUGUCUCUAACAUGGUAUCGUCACUAGCAUCCCGAAGGUCUAGUUCUAAGUCACAAAUGAAGUUCCAACAUUCUCUAGGUCUAGUGCCCCUUUAUGACACUUAGACAUUUAAUGAUUAAGCAUGUUCUACAUUCCUCAAUGGCCCUAUCCACUAGGUUCACACAUGUCCCGAGCUCAAUGCCGCUUGAUGACAUUAGCUCUCUAGUUCACAUACCUUUUAAAUGGCAAUUUUGUCAUCUUUCAUGUCACAAGUAAAUUUAAGUUUAAAUGCAUAAAUCCGAACUCAUCUACACUAUAGAAGCAUGAAACCAAGUCUCAUAAAGAAUGCUAAAUGCAACCAUAGAUCUCCCAAACAACUCUCUACUACAUAGAGGUCCAAAAUUUCAUCAUAUGUAACAUAUGCAUUUUAAGCAUUCUAAAAAUCAUAAUAAAUACAUUUAGUAUGAAUAUGCAUGCUUUUUCAAUUAAUGAUACGUAAUUCAUCACAAAUGAGAAUUUCUCAUUGUGUGGCUAGGUCAAACCCACCGAACCGUCGCGUAGUGCCUGGUUUCGCCGAACAAAGUUGUCCCCGAGUCUCAAAAUACCCUAAAAGUAUCGAGCGAAAAGAUACACGGGCAUUACGAUCAUCUUAUAAUAUCAAACAUUAACCUAGAAGCAAAAGGGGUCAAAUCUCACCUCAAGAGAAGAAAUCUCUUCCAAAGCUCUAAAAGAGAGCUAGAACCCUUCCACUCCAAGCCCAAGGAAGGUUCUAAACCAACUAAUUUAGCUCCAAAAGUCCUAGAUUCAAAAUACCCAAAAUAAGCCCUAAGUAUCAAAUCUAGGGUUCCAUCUUGAAUCCAUCAAUAAAAUUCAUAUUUAGAGGGAGAGAGCAAGUAGAUUACCUCUUAGAAGCUUCAAUCCAAGCUCUAAACUCUCCAAGUUCAAGGAUCUUCCCUCAACUUUGCUCCAAACCCAAGCUCCAAGCCUCAACCGAAGUGAGGAAGUUUCUAAUCAAGCAAAAGGGAGCUUAAUCUUGUAAAAAUCCAAGCAAAAUCAAAUAAAGGAAAUGGAAGAGUGUGGAGGGCUCCCUUACCCUUCUCCUUGCUGGUGCCAAGCUCAGGGAAAGCCCUAGGGGCAUGGGGGUACUAAUAGAGAUGCCACAAUCGCGAAAAACACCCUGCAGUUCAAACUGCUCAGAAUCUGCCAAAGUGUACCGGUACACGGAAAAGUGUACCGGUACAAAUCCUACGAAAAGGCAAACCCGAGGCUCGGGUUUGAAAUUCGCCACAAGUGUACCAGUACAGCCAUCAAAAGUGUACCGGUACAAAAUGUGUACCGGUACAGCCAUCGACCUGUCACCGGUUACACCUCGUGCAGAAUGCAAUCCGAGGGUAGGCUAAGUCCAACUCUUUGGUGACCUUAGCGCUACAUAAAAUACCAAAAUUCUCGGGAUGCGAGCCAUGGGUCGGAACACAGUUAAUGACCCACCAGAAAGUCUAGAAAAACUCGGAACACUGUCCAAACACUCGAACCUCGCAAUUUGCAAAGGUCCAGUGUGUCACAGUCACUCACUAUCUCACCCGGGCUGCCCAAAACGGACCCACCCUGCCUGUAUCUAGCUGCGCUGUACACCACCCCGAGGGUAGCCGGCUCAAGAACUGUCCAACAGAAACUGCGACACUCUUCGCACUAAAACCUCAUUCCGGAAUGACAUUCG
Molecule: long non-coding RNA, 4812 nt
Filed under: Ananas comosus (pineapple)
Lineage: Eukaryota; Viridiplantae; Streptophyta; Magnoliopsida; Poales; Bromeliaceae
Description: long non-coding RNA (ACOM_LNC034966)
Source: RNAcentral